Molecule: ribosomal RNA, 656 nt
Filed under: uncultured bacterium
Lineage: Bacteria
Description: bacterial SSU rRNA
Rfam family: Bacterial small subunit ribosomal RNA
Source: RNAcentral
GGGGACAACAGCCAGAAAUGGCUGCUAAUACCGCAUAAGCCUGCGGUGCCGCAUGGCACAGCAGGGAAAACCACGGUGGUACAGGAUGGGCCCGCGUCUGAUUAGUUAGUUGGCAGGGUAACGGCCUACCAAGACGAUGAUCAGUAGCCGGCUUGAGAGAGUGGACGGCCACAUUGGGACUGAGACACGGCCCAGACUCCUGCGGGAGGCAGCAGUGGGGAAUAUUGCACAAUGGGGGAAACCCUGAUGCAGCAAUGCCGCGUGGGUGAAGAAGCACUCCGGUGCGUAAAGCCCUGUCAGCAGGGAAGAAAAUGACAGUACCUGACCAAGAAGCCCCGGCUAACUACGUGCCAGCAGCCGCGGUAAUACGUAGGGGGCAAGCGUUAUCCGGAUUUACUGGGUGUAAAGGGAGCGCAGGCGGUAUGGCAAGUCAGAUGUGAAAACCCAGGGCUCAACCCUGGGACUGCAUUUGAAACUGCCAUACUGGAGUGCCGGAGAGGUAAGUGGAAUUCCUAGUGUAGCGGUGAAAUGCGUAGAUAUUAGGAGGAACACCAGUGGCGAAGGCGGCUUACUGGACGGUAACUGACGCUGAGGCUCGAAAGCGUGGGGAGCAAACAGGAUUAGAUACCCUGGUAGUCCACGCUGUAAACGAUGAA